Molecule: long non-coding RNA, 373 nt
Organism: Myzus persicae (green peach aphid)
Lineage: Eukaryota; Metazoa; Arthropoda; Insecta; Hemiptera; Aphididae
Exons: 2
Source: RefSeq, a predicted model, not a curated record
CAUCUAUUAUCAAUUUAUUAUUGUUAAAUAAGCAAUUAAUAAUUGUGAGUAAUAGGUAUUAAUUUAAUUUUACGAUUUGUACAUAAUAUUUUCUUAAAAACAAGAAUACCUAUGACCAAGUAUAUGUCUUAAUUCAAUCAAGCGCAGUAAUUUUGAAAGUUACAACUUGUGUGGCAUAGUCACAAAAUAUGAUACUGUUCAACAGUCUAUAUGCACUCGUGGUUCGUCGGUAAUAUUGUGCAUUUUUGACAAUCACACCAAUUAUUUAUUUGAAGCAAUGAUCUACCAAAGCAUUGGCUAAAUUCAUUAUGGUUAGUAUUAAAAGAAUCAUAGUCAUCGCAGAAAUCUAAUUUCGUUGGUUCAAAUUGAUAUG